GCGCAGAGCCACUGCGUAUAAGGCCUUGGGAGCCCGCGACUGAAUGCAGACGCAAGCCAGCGAGCAGACGAGAUGGGUGCCGCAGCGCUUCGGUGCCUAUGAGAAUUUUUUUCUUUGGAAAAAAAAAUGGAACCGGCUCCAUUCGCCAUCUACGAGCACGGAUUUUAGGCGAAGAGGAUAUUGAAGGAUAUUGCACGCGACUGGAGAGGCUGAAGUGUGUGUAGGUGCCUGUGGCUGUGACAGAAUCCGGUCUUGGAGUGACAGGGUGGUCGACGUCUGUUGCCGUCUGCAGCCAGAGGAGGUCAGUACCGUGUUUUCGUGCCAAUCGACUUGAGGCGACAGGUAGUGUUGGUUCCUCCUGACCCUGUAUCAUGAUUUCACGGCUGAAUCCAUUCAAGCGAGCGUGGGAGUUUGUCCGAUACUGCUAUUUUCAGUUCGCUGUUCACACGUGCAUUACCAUGUUGGAACCAGUGGAAGAGAAAGUUUUGAAUACCUGCCUUUUGCUGAUUUUGGCAAUGGUUGCCUAUGUGACCUACACGUAUCUACCUGGCCACCUCCUUAUGCUGUUCAACUUUGCCUGCAAUAUUACAGGAAUAAGAUGGUAGUUCCUGCUAAAUAUACUCUUUUAUUCAUUGUACAUAAAAUUAGUUUUUUGUGAUGAAGCAUUUCUGAGCCUGGGAACAAAUCCUUAUGAAAGCACAGCUUUGCUCAAUAUGUAGAAUGGGAGUGUCUCAGAAAUUUGGUUAUUAUAUUUGUUAACUAUUAAAUUAUCAAACUUUGUCUGGUCUGUUUGCUGGUGAAAUAAUGGUGAAAUAAUGAGCUUAAUAAAAAAAAAAUUCAUAUGCA
This is a long non-coding RNA of Pomacea canaliculata, 846 nucleotides long. RefSeq lists it as uncharacterized. The transcript has 2 exons. The record is from RefSeq and is a predicted model, not a curated record. Lineage: Eukaryota; Metazoa; Mollusca; Gastropoda; Architaenioglossa; Ampullariidae.